RNAcentral lists this ribosomal RNA (491 nucleotides) under uncultured bacterium. Its description in RNAcentral is "partial 16S ribosomal RNA". It matches the Rfam family "Bacterial small subunit ribosomal RNA", at positions 29 to 506 of the family's 1533-position model. The record is from RNAcentral.
AGUGAACGCUGGCGGUAGGCCUAACACAUGCAAGUCGAACGGCAGCACAGUAAGAGCUUGCUCUUACGGGUGGCGAGUGGCGGACGGGUGAGGAAUACAUCGGAAUCUACUUUUUCGUGGGGGAUAACGUAGGGAAACUUACGCUAAUACCGCAUACGACCUACGGGUGAAAGCAGGGGAUCUUCGGACCUUGCGCGAUUGAAUGAGCCGAUGUCGGAUUAGCUAGUUGGCGGGGUAAAGGCCCACCAAGGCGACGAUCCGUAGCUGGUCUGAGAGGAUGAUCAGCCACACUGGAACUGAGACACGGUCCAGACUCCUACGGGAGGCAGCAGUGGGGAAUAUUGGACAAUGGGCGCAAGCCUGAUCCAGCCAUACCGCGUGGGUGAAGAAGGCCUUCGGGUUGUAAAGCCCUUUCGUUGGGAAAGAAAAGCAGCAGGUUAAUACCCCGCUGUUCUGACGGUACCCAAAGAAUGAGCACCGGCUAACUUCGU